AGUGAACGCUGGCGGUAGGCCUAACACAUGCAAGUCGAACGGCAGCACAGUAAGAGCUUGCUCUUACGGGUGGCGAGUGGCGGACGGGUGAGGCAUACAUCGGAAUCUACUUUUUCGUGGGGGAUAACGUAGGGAAACUUACGCUAAUACCGCAUACGACCUACGGGUGAAAGCAGGGGCUCUUCGGACCUUGCGCGAUUGAAUGAGCCGAUGUCGGAUUAGCUAGUUGGCGGGGUAAAGGCCCACCAAGGCGACGAUCCGUAGCUGGUCUGAGAGGAUGAUCAGCCACACUGGAACUGAGGCACGGUCCAGACUCCUACAGUGAGCAGCAGUGGGGAAUAUUGGGCAAUGGGCGCAAGCCUGAUCCAGCCAUACCGCGUGGAUGAAGAAGGCCUUCGGGUUGGAAAGCCCUUUUGUUGGGAAAGAAAGGCAGCAGGUUAAUACCCCGCUGUUCUGACGGUACCCAAAGAAUAAGCACCGGCUAACUUCGUG
RNAcentral lists this ribosomal RNA (492 nucleotides) under uncultured bacterium. Its description in RNAcentral is "partial 16S ribosomal RNA". It matches the Rfam family "Bacterial small subunit ribosomal RNA", at positions 29 to 507 of the family's 1533-position model. The record is from RNAcentral.